CACAGACUGUCCCUCCUCUGUAGAUGGUUACUAUUUAUGUCUAUACCAUUAAUAGUUGGAAGGAAAUCUAUAUCAAAGCUUCACUUUUUAGGUCUCCCCUUCUAUGUUCAACUCUACUGUGAUCUGAAUGAAAAGAGACUGAAAUCACAGAAGUUGCCACAGCGCAGGAUUGUCAGCCCUGUCCAUGCAGGUGCUGGCACAGCAAGAGAAAAUUCCAGUUCAGCUCAGUGCUGGUGUAGCUCUGGGGUGUGCAUGUGCAGGAAGGUGUCACGCUUUGCAAAACCAUGUACAAGUUUUAAAAGCUGAAGCAUUUGAGUUGAUUUGUGCAGAGAGGAGGUGGGAAACAGCACAGCAAAGGGAGAUCAUCCAUCAACACUAAGCAAAGCCCCUGCACUCAGGGAUGUCUUUAUCAGAUGGGAUUCCAUCUCCUGAAAGCCAAAGCAAGGGCAGGGCAAGCUGACCAUCUGUGCAGAAUGCUUUCCUCCAUGAAAGGCAAGUAUGAAUGUAUAAUAAAAGAUUUUCU
Cyanistes caeruleus (blue tit) is the source of this 523-nucleotide long non-coding RNA. The record is from Ensembl. Lineage: Eukaryota; Metazoa; Chordata; Aves; Passeriformes; Paridae.